AACCUGCCUUUGAGAAGGGGAUAACUGUCCGAAAGGAUAGCUAAUACCCUAUAUUGCCUUUUGUCACUAAGGCAAAAAGUGAAAGCGAGGCUGUCAAAGGCUUCGGCUCAAAGAGGGGUUCGCGUCCUAUCAGGUAAUUGGUGGGGUAAUGGCCUACCAAGCCAAUGACGGGUAGCUGGUCUUAGAGGAUGAUCAGCCACAGUGGGACUGAGACACGGCCCGCACCCCUACGGGGGGCAGCAGUGGGGAAUCGUGGGCAAUGGGCGCAAGCCUGACCCCGCAAUGCCGCGUGAGGGAAGAAGCCCUUCGGGGUGUAAACCUCUGUCAGAUGGGAAGAUGGGACUAGGAGCUAAUACCUCCUGGUCUUGACGGUACCAUCAGAGGAAGGGACGGCUA
This 396-nucleotide ribosomal RNA is filed under the name uncultured bacterium. Its description in RNAcentral is "bacterial SSU rRNA". It matches the Rfam family "Bacterial small subunit ribosomal RNA", at positions 123 to 499 of the family's 1533-position model. The record is from RNAcentral.